Molecule: ribosomal RNA, 460 nt
Filed under: uncultured soil bacterium
Lineage: Bacteria
Description: bacterial SSU rRNA
Rfam family: Bacterial small subunit ribosomal RNA
Source: RNAcentral
AGAUUGAACGCUAGCGGGAUGCUUUACACAUGCAAGUCGAACGGCAGCGCGGACUUCGGUCUGGCGGCGAGUGGCGAACGGGUGAGUAAUAUAUCGGGACGUGCCCAGUAGCGGGGGAUAACUACGCGAAAGCGUGGCUAAUACCGCAUACGCCCUACGGGGGAAAGGGGGGGAUCGCAAGACCUCUCACUAUUGGAGCGGCCGAUAUCAGAUUAGCUAGUCGGUGAGGUAAAGGCUCACCAAGGCGACGAUCUGUAGCUGGUUUGAGAGGACGACCAGCCACACUGGGACUGAGACACGGCCCAGACUCCUACGGGAGCAGCAGUGGGAAUUUGGACAAUGGGGGAAACCCUGAUCCAGCCAUCCCGCGUGUGCGAUGAAGGCCGUUCGGGUUGUAAGCACUUUUGGUCGAGGAAGAAACGGCGUUAGGAACUAAUAAUUCAGCGUCACUGACGGUACC